GAGUUUGAUCCUGGCUCAGAUUGAACGCUGGCGGCAGGCUUAACACAUGCAAGUCGAACGGUAACAUGAGUGCUUGCACUUGAUGACGAGUGGCGGACGGGUGAGUAAUGUAUGGGGAUCUGCCGAAUGGAGGGGGACAACAGUUGGAAACGACUGCUAAUACCGCAUAAAGUUGAGAGACCAAAGCAUGGGACCUUCGGGCCAUGCGCCAUUUGAUGAACCCAUAUGGGAUUAGCUAGUUGGUAGGGUAAUGGCUUACCAAGGCGACGAUCUCUAGCUGGUCUGAGAGGAUGACCAGCCACACUGGAACUGAGACACGGUCCAGACUCCUACGGGAGGCAGCAGUGGGGAAUAUUGCACAAUGGGGGGAACCCUGAUGCAGCCAUGCCGCGUGUAUGAAGAAGGCCUUCGGGUUGUAAAGUACUUUCGGUGAUGAGGAAGGUGGUGUAUCUAAUAGGUGCAUCAAUUGACGUUAAUUACAGAAGAAGCACCGGCUAACUCCGUGCCAGCAGCCGCGGUAAUACGGAGGGUGCGAGCGUUAAUCGGAAUGACUGGGCGUAAAGGGCAUGUAGGCGGAUAAUUAAGUUAGGUGUGAAAGCCCUGGGCUCAACCUAGGAAUUGCACUUAAAACUGGUGAUCUGGAGUACUGUAGAGGGAGGUAGAAUUCCACGUGUAGCGGUGAAAUGCGUAGAGAUGUGGAGGAAUACCGGUGGCGAAGGCGGCCUUCUGGACAGAUACUGACGCUGAGAUGCGAAAGCGUGGGGAGCAAACAGGAUUAGAUACCCUGGUAGUCCACGCUGUAAACGAUGUCGAUUUGGAGUUUAUUGCCUAGAGUGAUGGGCUCCGAAGCUAACGCGAUAAAUCGACCGCCUGGGGAGUACGGCCGCAAGGUUAAAACUCAAAUGAAUUGACGGGGGCCCGCACAAGCGGUGGAGCAUGUGGUUUAAUUCGAUGCAACGCGAAGAACCUUACCUGGUCUUGACAUCCACAGAAUCUUUCAGAGAUGAGGGAGUGCCUUCGGGAACUGUGAGACAGGUGCUGCAUGGCUGUCGUCAGCUCGUGUUGUGAAAUGUUGUGUUAAGUCCCGCAACGAGCGCAACCCUUAUCCUUUGUUGCCAGCGAUUAGGUCGGGAACUCAAAGGAGACUGCCGUUGAUAAAACGGAGGAAGGUGGGGACGACGUCAAGUCAUCAUGGCCCUUACGACCAGGGCUACACACGUGCUACAAUGGCGUAUACAAAGGGAGGCGA
This 1249-nucleotide ribosomal RNA is filed under the name uncultured Gammaproteobacteria bacterium. RNAcentral describes it as "bacterial SSU rRNA". It matches the Rfam family "Bacterial small subunit ribosomal RNA", at positions 9 to 1252 of the family's 1533-position model. Lineage: Bacteria; Pseudomonadati; Pseudomonadota; Gammaproteobacteria. The record is from RNAcentral.